UCGAGAAUUUUUCUCAAUGGGGGCAACCCUGAAGGAGCGACGCCGCGUGGAGGAUGAAUGGCUUCGGCUUGUAAACUCCUGUCAUUUGGGAACAAGUGGUCGAACGUAACUGCUUCGGCCUUGAUAGUACCAGAAGAGGAAGAGACGGCUAACUCUGUGCCAGCAGCCGCGGUAAUACAGAGGUCUCAAGCGUUGUUCGGAUUCAUUGGGCGUAAAGGGUGCGUAGGUGGCGCCGUAAGUCGGGUGUGAAAUCCCGGGGCUUAACCCCGGGACUGCAUUCGAUACUGCGGUGCUUGAGGACUGGAGAGGAGACUGGAAUUCAUGGUGUAGCAGUGAAAUGCGUAGAGAUCAUGAGGAAGACCAGUGGCGAAGGCGGGUCUCUGGACAGUUCCUGACACUGAGGCACGAAGGCCAGGGGAGCAAACGG
RNAcentral lists this ribosomal RNA (427 nucleotides) under uncultured bacterium. Its description in RNAcentral is "bacterial SSU rRNA". It matches the Rfam family "Bacterial small subunit ribosomal RNA", at positions 355 to 775 of the family's 1533-position model. The record is from RNAcentral.